RNAcentral lists this ribosomal RNA (429 nucleotides) under Pseudomonadota bacterium. RNAcentral describes it as "Proteobacteria bacterium partial 16S ribosomal RNA". It matches the Rfam family "Bacterial small subunit ribosomal RNA", at positions 355 to 776 of the family's 1533-position model. Lineage: Bacteria; Pseudomonadati; Pseudomonadota. The record is from RNAcentral.
UGGGGAAUAUUGGACAAUGGGCGAAAGCCUGAUCCAGCCAUGCCGCGUGUGUGAAGAAGGUCUUCGGAUUGUAAAGCACUUUAAGUUGGGAGGAAGGGCAGUAAGCGAAUACCUUGCUGUUUUGACGUUACCGACAGAAUAAGCACCGGCUAACUCUGUGCCAGCAGCCGCGGUAAUACAGAGGGUGCAAGCGUUAAUCGGAAUUACUGGGCGUAAAGCGCGCGUAGGUGGUUCGUUAAGUUGAAUGUGAAAGCCCCGGGGUCAACCUGGGAACUGCAUCCAAAACUGGCGAGCUAGAGUAGGGCAGAGGGUGGUGGAAUUUCCUGUGUAGCGGUGAAAUGCGUAGAUAUAGGAAGGAACACCAGUGGCGAAGGCGACCACCUGGGCUCAUACUGACACUGAGGUGCGAAAGCGUGGGGAGCAAACAGG